UAUUUAGCCAUCUGAGACACUUGAGGCAAUAUUCCAUUAUCAUUUUUCUAUGUAACAUUUCAAUUUUCAAUUUCGCUUUGGAUUUGGGGAGUAGAGUCAGAGUGGUGUGGUAGUGUGGAGUGUGGAGAUUUGAAUAAAAAUGUAUAAAAUGUUGAGGCCGAAUGAAUGCGUUAGUUACUUUUCUAAUAUUAUUAUUAUUUGAUUAUUUAUUUUGCUGAUGUUCUAAUAUACUUUAAUAUUUCUAGUGUAUUUUGAUUGUUUUAAUUUUAUAUUUGUAAAGAUUGUGUUUAAUUAAAAAUGGAAACGCAAUAUUUGACUGCUCAACACCUCGCAGGCUUUGAAAACUAUAAAUACAGUUCGUUGGACACCAGCCCCCUUAGUGUUUACGUGAUGCAUCCAUUCUGGAACAGAGUAGUUCUGCUCUGUCCAAAGUGGGUGGCGCCUAACGUUCUGACGUUUGUGGGGUUCCUGUUUACUGCCGGUGCGUGCCUGCUGCUAUCCAUCUAUGAUUACGAGUUCUAUGCCAGCAGUUCUGAUCACCCCGAGUACCCACCCAUUCCGCCUUGGGUCUAUUUGGUCACUUCCAUCAGCAUCUUUGUCGCCUACACACUAGAUGGUAUCGACGGAAAGCAGGCACGACGCACACAGACCAGUGGACCACUUGGGGAGUUGUUUGACCAUGGAUUGGACUCGUGGACGGCAGUGCUCAUCCCCACUUGUCUCUACUCCGUCUUUGGUCGCACUGACUACUCUGUACCUCCCAUUCGCUUCUACUUCGUCUGCUGGAACGUAUUUCUCACCUUCUACUCCUCUCACUGGGAGAAGUACAACACCGGCGUGCUCUUCCUGCCUUGGGGCUAUGAUCUCUCCAUGAUUGCAUCAACUCUUGUGUUCCUGGUUACGUACAUGUUUGGUCACGAAUGGUGGAAGUUCACGGUGUAUGGAGACAUAGCCACUGGCCACGUCCUUGAAAUUCUGUUCUACUUGAGCUCCUUUGCUUCCAACUUGCCUGUCGUCCUCUGGAACAUCUACAAGUCAUACCGAGAUAAGACUGGUAAGAUGAGGUCCAUGUGGGAGGCUAACAGACCCCUACAACCCGUGUUGUUGUUCCUCGGUGUAUGUGCCAUCUGGGCAUACCACUCACCUACUGAUAUCAUCAGCAGAGAUCCCAGGGCCUACUAUCUUAUGUCUGGGACAAUCUUCUCCAAUAUUUGUUGUCGCUUGAUAGUGUCCCAGAUGUCUAACACUAGGUGUGACAAUUCCAACUGGUUGCUAGGACCUGCCUUCCUCUGCACCGGACUCUCCCUCCUGCUCUCUUCCCACUACCUGGAGAUCUCACUGCUCUAUGCUCUCUGGGCUCUGUCCACUAUAGCCCACAUACACUACGGCACCUGUGUGGUGAGACAGAUGUGUCGGCACUUCAGGAUCUGCUGUUUCCAGAUCAAACCUCGGCCGCACUCAGAAUGACUGUUAGCGGACAGCGCGUGAUGUGAGACCCCUUCCUUUCGACACGUAGUAUCUCCACACUUCACUCACCUGUGUAGAGUUCUUCGGAACAGAGCAUUAUUUCUCUCAUUGUGCUGAGAAUUUCCAAGACCUCAACAAGCCUGGCUCUUUUGUGAACUAAGUUCAACCACAUUUCUGUGCCGGAGUUAUGCUGUAUUUUAUGUUUCAGUCACAAAACGAUAUAUAGGUACACAUCAACUUUGAGAUACUCAUGUAGAUAAAUAGAUGUUAAGUAUAAUUUUAGAAAUUGCUCGCUAUUUAUCUAAGUAAUAAGUGCAUAAUAACACAAGGUAUUACAAAAGUUCUAAGAUGGUUAAAUAUGUUUUAUUUUGUGCUCAAAAAAUAAACUGUUUAGAUUACAUUUUGGACGUUAGGAAGGAACUAUUCAUACUCAUGGAUACUUGUCAUUUCCUGCUACAAUCAGAUGAUGGGCUGUUUGGAAAAUUAAGCAUGGAUUUAGUUGUGUAUAAUUUCAAAAUUAGAGAUAAGCAGAGCUCCUGAAUGGACCUCUGCAUAUAGCUGAUAUUUCUAUUCAACCUAAUUAUAAGGAAAUGUCCAAGUAUCUGUGAUGGAUUGGUUACAGUUUAAUUAUUGUGUUCUGCAUUUGCAGUAGAAAAUGUCAGGUAUCCAUGUUUGAGAAUACUUUGUCAUGCUAUAAACUUAAAAUGUAUAAUUUUAAUUUUUAGAAUCAGCCCAUCCAUAAUUUAAAAGUAAAUAUAUAGGAUUAAAAAUUAAAACUAUUUUAGUUAUUAAGUUCUAAUGGACAAACUUUAUUGUUCAAAAAUCAUACAAAUGAAAAAUAUUGCAAAUAGAAGGUAUUGACCGGUAAUAAACAUAAUAUAUCAUUUUACUUGUAACAAUAGGCUGGAAUCAUGUUGCAUUUCUCAUUUAAUGAAGCUUCUUGUCUCUUUUAAGUUAUGUUUGGUCUUGUGGUUUGUGUGAAGUACGUGUCCAGCUCAGGUGGUGGGCCUAUGUCAUGUGUUGUCCCUCGGACGCAUUUACUUUAUUUGUAUUUAUAUUUACAAUUUAUUAAGGAUCGCCUUAAGUAUAUAUAUAUAUAUAUGUGUGUGAAACUAGGUCAAGAUUCUAUAAUAAAGGGGGUAGUUACCUCUUUAUUCAAUUAUAUAUUAUCGGUAUAUUCUCAGUUCUCUUGAUAUUUAUGUAUAAUAAGUUUUCUUUUUGUUGUUAAUUUAAUUUGUUUUAUAUAAUUGUUUGAUUAGUUUUAUGAUACUAUUUAUCUGACCAUUUUCGCUGAGUAGUUAAACACACAGUAGCUUAGUUUGAAUUUUACCACUUCUGUACAAUUAACAUUUAGUAAUUGCCUUUCUUUGUACCCAUUAAUAAAUGUGAUGACACCCAGAUAUUUAUUGUUUAUCAGUAGAUCUUUAACUAACCCAUCAAACAAUGUCAUUGAGGGAAUGUCUUGUAUAUCAGCUAAUAUGCUAAUCUUUUACUGAAGUAAAUGAAAUCAUCCACUCAGCAGAGAAAGAUUUUUAUUAGAUGUUUAAAUCUGAUAAAGCACAAAAUAUGUAGCCUAAAUAAAAAAGCCUCAUAUCCACAAGUUAGUUGAGUUCAUCUUUAUAGUUACAACUAAAAGAAAUGAGCUCCAACAGAAAUUCAGUAGAGGUGUUAAAUUAUGUAGUUUAAAUCCUUAACAGUGCACUGCAGCAAAACAGCAGACACAUUUUCUACAUCAAAGCAAAUAUGAAUAUUGUUCAAAACAAAAACACCUGCAUAUUCAGAGUAUGUGAGGUGGAUUAUUGCCUCAUCUUUAUUGAUAUAUCUUUAACUGUGCUAGUUAUAAGUGAUAACCUUCUGUAAUCUGAGAAACUCAUAAAAAUAGGAAUACAAUUUUCAAUAAGAAGAGGCAUUGCCAUUCAUGUUGUAAAUUGUUACUUGUAAUAGAGACUAUGAUGCAGCAAAAAACUAAAGCCGCUUGAAUGAAAAAACUAUAAGUGUUUUGGAAAAAUAUUUAGACUUAAUGAUUGAAAGAGUUUAUAAUACUUAUGUUAUCAUUUUAAACCACCUAUAAUCAUAGAAAGCUUAAAACAAAGAAGCAACAUAACUGAUCUGAAGUCUAGAAAGAUGCGAAAGUAAUUAGAUUAUCUCAAUGAUAUUAAAUCUUAGGAACUAUACAAAGAUACGGAAGAAACCAGUGGAAAAAUCCAGGAGUAAGUAAAUGCUGUUAGCAAUAAUACAAAGUUGAAUACUAAACAGAUGCAAUAGAAUCUCAAAUGUUACAAAACCAAAGACUUUUAACAUAAACUUUCACUCUAUUGGUUUUUACAAAUUUACUGUCUGAAUAAUUUACUUUUGUUAAAAUGUCACAUGUUAAAAUCUCAUAUGGUUAUACUCAGCUUGUUUACAAAUUUAUUUAUUCUUACGUUUUCUCGUUGCAAUGAUGGUUAUCCAUAAAAAUAUUUGUUAACGCUCAGCUAAACUCCAUGGAAUGACAUGCACCAUCAUCAAACAGCAUUACUAAUAUGUAAAUGAAGCUUCGUGCAAAAAUAGAAGUGUAUAGGUCAGUUUGUUGUUGAGAUAUCGUGCGGCUUAACAGACGGACAUAUUACAUUUUUCCAGCCUCUCGAAUGAUAGACUUUGUUAAUGCUCAGGCAAUGAAUAUAUAAAAAUAAAUUAACUUGGAUUCCACAAAGAUAUAGAAACAAUAAAAAGAAAAGAAAUAUAUUGAAUGAACUUUAAUUUCCAAAGACACAGAAUCAACAUGAAUGCUAACAAAUGUGAAACCUUACUUUAUUAAUAAUUAGCAUAAAAAUGUGAGGUCAGGUUGGAUUUACAUAGGUUUGGGUCCAAAUUUAAUGCUGUAAAGGAAGAGUCAAAUUUUGUAAAAAUGCAAAAAUAACUUGAAUGUCGCUAUGAUGUGAAGCUUAAAAUGAAAGAUAAGGAAGUAGUUUUACAAUGCUGCAUGUUUACAGAAGGACUUGAAUGUUGUUGCAAAGAUAAGGAAUCAGUUUGAAUAUCACUUAAAGCAACUUCGUUGGUUCAAAAAUAUAAAGCUAAUUAGAGUAAUAAAUACUUCAGAACAAGCAAAACUCGUAUUCUACAAUAAUGGUGAUGUACAGGAAGUAUUUCAAGAUUUUUCCCCUUUCCAAAAAGCGUAGGAAUAACUUAUUAUCUGUAAUGGGAGUUGAAUUUUGUCAUCUACGUGCUCUCCUUAGUAAAAUUUUUGUAUUAUUGGAAUUAUUAUUUUCAAUAAGAAUGCCAAGUACUCAUAUACUAGGUAUGUUAAAAAAGAAAUGAAAAUGUUAUAGUUUUGCGGGUUUAGAGAGUCCGAUUGUCAAGAUAUUUUAUUAUGUUGAUACUCAUGCUCCUGAAAUCUAAUAAAAUUUCCAGCUGUAUUCAUUAGAUGUUAUACACUUGUACUAUCGCUUCUUCCAAUUCUCUAAACACUUCUCAAACUUGAUUUGGGAAUAGCUUUUAUCUCUUUCAGUGAUGCAUUUUUAAAGUUAUCUAUGCUUGCAAAACAAUAGCCCUCUAAGGUUCUCUUUAUUGUUGGAAAUGCUCUGUUUCAAAAUGCUAUAUUUCACACCAUGUUAAACUCCAAACAUUUUUAUGACCAUACACAAUGGCAUGUUAUAAUCAGCUUAUUGAGCACCUAAAAUUUAAACAGAUGAUUGUUGUGGCUCACUAGCAGUGCUGUCACAUAAUGAUAGUUGUUAUUGUUUAGCACUCGUAUUUUUAAAAGUGAACUAUCUCCCUUAUUUAUCAACCGAUUUUCUUAAACUAUUCUUAAAAAAUUAUUUGUUUUAUAAUUAAAUUGUCUGUCUAAAAUGUAAAUUUUACCAUGUGUUUUUUCAAGUUAUUUACGCUAAAAGUUUUUAUAAAACCGCCAUAGUUAAAUUAGAUUUUGUAAAAAUUUUAAUUUUUUCUGUAAUUAUAAAGCUUUAGGUUUGCCUUUAUGUUAUAAAGCUAUAUCCUCAAUCUCAACUUAUUACAAACCAUUCUAAAAUUAAAAAUAGAUAAGUAAAAAAAAAUAUAAAAUGACAGCUGUUUGGGUACUUAUUGAGUUUUUGAUAAUUUGAAUAUGAUAAUAUCAUAUUAUUUUCAUAAGGCUUUGCUUCAGAAAUAAUAUCUGAAAAGAUUUGUAGAUAGUUCUGGGACUCUACAUGUUCAUUAAACCUUGCAAAGAACACAAAGAGUUCAGAAAUUCUUAGUUUCUAUGCUUACGUUGCUGCUGUAUAAUUAUCUUUCUGCUUCAAACCACAUCAAAAAAUUGCUAAUACAACUACUAUUAUUAGUUGUAUUAGCAAUUUUUUUAUGUUAUCUUGAGAUAUAUCAGCCUCUCUGUUAUAAACAGUAAUUUUACUAUUUAUCUUAGUGUUCAAGUUUGGCAUUGCCAUCAGUACAGCUAUGACUGAGCAAGAAGUCCCUUUGUCUGUUGCGCUAAGGAUUAUUAUUAUAAAGUUUUUAACCCAUUAAACCAUCGCAAAUUAGAACUCAUUUGCAGCCACAGUUUGGGGACAGUAUUGUCUUAGAGUUGUGAGUUUAUGUGAGUGAGAGAAUUUGAGAAUAGACGAGAACGGGUUGAAAACAAAAGUCAUGAUCAAUGCUCAAGCUCAAGCCUUAUAGAUGACAAUAUUGUACCGUUCAAGAUCUUAUUGAAUGUGAUCACCAGUUAAACCAUGGAAGAAAUUUCAUCGGAAGUUCAUAUCACCUAUGAUGGAAGUGUUCAAUCAGUAAUCAGCUUGGUUUCAGAAAAAUUAGUGCUCGAUGGGUUUUGAGUUUGUUGGCUGAAAACCAAAAACAGGUCAGGUCGGAGAUCGUUAGAAAGCUUCUGGAUCAAUUUCAGUAAAAAGAGGAGGCAUUUUUAAAGCGGAUUGUUACAUGUGAUGAGAAGUGGAUACAUUACUACACUCCCGAGUCAAAAAUGGUAAGUAAGGAGUGGCGGUGAAAGGAAGAAGUUUCCUCUUCGAAAGCCAAAAACUUGUCUCUCCGCUGGAAAGCCCUUCCUUGCAACAAUUUUUUGGAUUCUAGGGGAAUUUUACUAGUAGAUUUUCUACAUGACCAACGUUCAGUGAAUUUGGCUUAUUAUACUGUUAGUUAUAAUGACUGCUGAAACCCGUCUUGUCGAAGCAAAAGAUGAUACAUGCCCAUCAGAGAUGUUAUUCACUUCCAUGACAAUGCCAGGCCUCAAACCGCAGUUUCAACGAGGGAUACACUGGAAGAAAUGAGUUGAAAAGCCCUUUAGCACACGCCUUAUAGCCCUGUGAAUAUUUUUUGUUUGCAUGUAUGAAGGAAUCACUGGGAGAAAAGAUUUGAGAGCAAUGAAGAAGUUGAGGAGCACGUGCGCAAUUGGUUAACAACUCGCCCUCAAACUUUCUAUGACCAGGGUAUACCGAAACUUCCAAAUUGAUGGCAAAAUUAUGUAGAUUACUCAGGUCACUAUACUGAAAAAUUUUAAAACAAUAAUAAAUGUAGAAGGUUAUCAAACAAAGGUUAAAAAAAAAUAUUAUUACUUUUUAUAUUUGAUUUAGUCCCGUAGUUAUGAACAGUUGGAUGGAUUAAUUAUUGUAGGCCUGACCAUUUUGCAGUUUCAAUGAUACCUAACCUACAAUUUUUUGUGACUUAUACCGAGGCCCGAGCAGCAUCACAAGUUUCAUAGAUUCUAUAGAAACUAAAGUAUUCAAAUUGGCUUCACUGUUGUGAAUGUAUGUCAUCAAUGUUUCACUGUCUUUAAUUUUGUUUUGUAGUUUAAUGUUAGUCUAGACUUAUCUUUAGGCUGAAUAUGCUGUGUUGUUUUAGUCAUGGUAUUAUUUUGGAUCUAUUUUGUUUAAUGUUAGUGCUUGAAAUAGUUAUUUUUACAUAAUUUAAUUAUGAACAUAUUAUUUUUAUUUUCAGUGAUAAGUAGUUUUAAGUUUUGCUUUCAGUGAUAAUCAUUUUUAAGUUUUGCAAGAUAAUCAUGUUUGUAAAUGACAUUGGUGAGUUUUCCAUCUUUUAAAGGCUUUGUGAAUGCAAGGACGUGCAAGUUUCGUCUACAGUAAUUAAAUGUUCUACGUUUCAUCUUCCCGUUCUUCCUUCAUUAUCAUCUCCUAAUUCUUCUACAAUAGUCCUGCCUUAAAAUAUAGAAUAAUUUAGGUAUUCAGAUAUCUUGUAGUUAAAAAAUUAUUAGGUAAUUUUAGUAAUCUAAAUACUUAAGUCUUUCAGUUAAGUUAUAAGUACAGUAGAGUCCAUUUACCAAACUAUUGGGACUGAAUGAUCAGUUUAUUAAAUUGUUGAACUAUUCAAAAUAAUUACACAUUUAUUGAGAAAAAGAUAAAUCUUAAAGAGUUGUCAGUAGCUUAUAGUUGUAUUUUCAUAUUCCAAGACAACUGUUAGUUUAUUACUGUAACAAACAAAGAAAUGUCACAAGUUCAGAUUAACAUUUAUUGGUGGCAAAAGGUGGUUCCAAUGUUUUUGAAGGUAUUUCAAAAUAGUAAUGUGGUAACAAGAGAGUGGAGAAGGGGGAGACAAGGGGUUAGAUGUAAAAGCGUAUUUCUUUCCUACUCUCUUAUCAGCUCUCAAAUAUAUACCACAAUCUCAGUCCUUGCAUCUAUAAAAGUGUUGCUUACAAAAGUAACAAGAGUCACAGGUACAAAAUUGACAGUUGGCAUUCAUUAUUCGGUUUUGAUAUUGACAUUUUGCCAAACCAUAUUUUAUUGCUAUAGCCUCUAUAGUUUGUUGACAAGAAUAAAAAAAUGUAUUUAAAAUUAUUAAUAAUGUUUAUUUUUAUCUUGAUAUUGUAUUUGAUGGAUAAAACUAAAAUAAUUUUUAUUUCCUUCAAAAAUGUAUUAGUUUAUUCUUUUCUUGAGGGCAUUGGAAUUAAAUGCAUUUUUGAAUUAUCAGGGUUUUUUUUCUUUUCCGUAACAAUUGAGUGAGGACUUCAGUUUUCUCACCUUUGGGAAAACUUGAAAGCUGUAGGGAAAUUCAAAAUUAAAUAUUAGUGACCAAAGCAUAGACAAAAUCUCUCCGUUGUGAAACCUUGUAACAUAUAUAAACAUGUUUGUAUAUUGAAUGUAAGUGCAGUAAAGUAAAAAAUGAACACAGUUGACUUAUUACAGAUAUAAGAUGUAUCAGCUUAAUAAACCACUGGUUAUAUGUUUGAUACAAGUCGGAGAUUGAUAUAAUAAGCUCUAAAACAAUUCUAAGCUAGUGAAUAAGUAAUAAGGUUGUAAUUGCUUUAUUUCAGAUGUUUGACAUAUUGUAUUACAUUUACCUAAAAUAUUUGCAAAAAUGUUGAAGCUGCCUUCUUACUGCUUCAAUUCAUGCCAAAUGACAAUAUUUAGCAUUGUACUGUUGUAUUUUUAAUUAUUGUUCCCCUUGCAUGCUUAAGUAAGAAAUAGUUGGUCUCCCUAAGCUAAGUUUUUAAUCAAUAGUUUAUUUUAUUUCACAAUAAAUUACAAGUAGAAUGUAUAGUGUGUAGUCAGUCAUUUACAUUCUUUUUUUACAAUUUUACUAGGUGAAAUGUUUAAAUACUUUCCAUGAUAAAACUGUUAGAUUCUUGCAGAUUUGAUUCAUUAAGCCAACCAUUGCAUUUGGUUGUCCAACUUCCUGUAUUUGCUCACCAUUCCAAUGUUGUAUCAUUAGUUAAGUUAGUCCUAACUAGUCCUUAGUUUAGAGCUCUUCAACAACAAGUUUUGUACAAAUUUGUUAUGUUGUUAAAUGUUUUUUGUGUGGCUGAAAUACAUUUUUGUUUCAAUA
Molecule: unclassified non-coding RNA, 9201 nt
Filed under: Homalodisca vitripennis (glassy-winged sharpshooter)
Lineage: Eukaryota; Metazoa; Arthropoda; Insecta; Hemiptera; Cicadellidae
Description: ethanolaminephosphotransferase 1-like, transcript variant X2
Source: RNAcentral